CGCAAAGAUAACAUGCCAAUCCCUUUUCGCAAGGUUAACAGCAGCUUUCAAUUUGUUAUUAAGGAUUUUCCAAAGAAAAAAUUUGAUCUUGAAAGGGACUUUAAUUCGCCAAAUAUAGCCUGCCACUCUGCCAUCGACACACUAUCAAUAAGAAACCUAGUGCUUCUUUUUAUCCAGAGCCUAUUAUACACAAUCAGCCCUAUUGUCAAUUAAUGCACAAUCAUUUAGCAUAUUCAGC
RNAcentral lists this long non-coding RNA (238 nucleotides) under Sorghum bicolor (sorghum). RNAcentral describes it as "long non-coding RNA (SBIC_LNC017320)". The record is from RNAcentral. Lineage: Eukaryota; Viridiplantae; Streptophyta; Magnoliopsida; Poales; Poaceae.